AGUUUGACUGCUAGAUCAUAUGGUAAGAUUAUGCUUAAUUUUAGAGAAAUGGACAAACUUUGUUUCAAAGUAGCUAUACCAUUUUAUAUUCCCACAAGCCAU
Molecule: microRNA precursor, 102 nt
Filed under: Marmota monax (woodchuck)
Lineage: Eukaryota; Metazoa; Chordata; Mammalia; Rodentia; Sciuridae
Source: RNAcentral